This 373-nucleotide long non-coding RNA is filed under the name Mustela putorius furo (domestic ferret). Its description in RNAcentral is "lncRNA (ENSMPUG00000025767.1)". The record is from RNAcentral. Lineage: Eukaryota; Metazoa; Chordata; Mammalia; Carnivora; Mustelidae.
CUCAAGUCCAGAGUAAGCAGUUUCCACCCCCGAAAGUGCCCCUGUGACAACACCGGGGAGAAUGCCUCAUGAUGAAAUCGGAUGUGUAAUGUACAUGCUGUACAAAUCGGAUACAAGAACAACACAUGCUGAACCCCUCAAUGUUGACCAAGGCAUGGUUCUUUGAACACUGGCCCAUUCCAUUCCUUCAGAGCUUGGCUCAGGUGCGACCUCCUCAAAGAGACUUUUCCUGGCUCCCUGUACUGAGUGAUUUCCUCCACAACUCUCUCAAGCCACCUGUUUACAUCCUUCCUAGUGUUCAUCAAAACCUCAGGUGAUCUUUUGGUUUUAUACAUUUCUUACUGGUUAAGUCUUUCAUUAUAAAAUAUUUUUC